CAAGAGCGUAUGUAAAAGUUGUUGCAGUUAAAAAGCUCGUAGUUGAACCUUGGGUUUGGUUGGCCGGUCCGCUUUUUUGCGAGUACUGGAUUCAACCGAGCCUUUCCUUCUGGCUAACCAGUCGUUUCGGCGGCUGGCGAACCAGGAUUUUUACUUUGAGAAAAUUAGAGUGUUCAAAGCAGGCAUUAGCUUGAAUAUAUUAGCAUGGAAUAAUAGAAUAGGACGUUAUGGUUCUAUUUUGUUGGUCUCUAGGACCAUCGUAAUGAUUAAUAGGGACGGUCGGGGGCGUCAGUAUUCAGUUGUCAGGGGUGAAAUUCUUGGAUUUACUGAAGACUAACCACUGCGAAAGCAUUUGCCAAGGACGUUUUCAUUAA
RNAcentral lists this ribosomal RNA (374 nucleotides) under uncultured eukaryote. Its description in RNAcentral is "partial 18S ribosomal RNA". It matches the Rfam family "Eukaryotic small subunit ribosomal RNA", at positions 592 to 976 of the family's 1831-position model. The record is from RNAcentral.